This 438-nucleotide ribosomal RNA is filed under the name uncultured bacterium. RNAcentral describes it as "bacterial SSU rRNA". It matches the Rfam family "Bacterial small subunit ribosomal RNA", at positions 339 to 794 of the family's 1533-position model. The record is from RNAcentral.
CUACGGGAGGCAGCAGUAGGGAAUUUUCGGCAAUGGGCGAAAGCCUGACCGAGCAACGCCGCGUGAGGGAAGAAGGUCUUCGGAUCGUAAACCUUUGUCUAGAGGGAAGAUAAUGACGGUACCUCUGGAGGAAGCCACGGCUAACUACGUGCCAGCAGCCGCGGUAAUACGUAGGUGGCAAGCGUUGUCCGGAAUUACUGGGCGUAAAGGGCGUGUAGGCGGCCUUCUAAGUCAGGCGUGAAAUAUCAGGGCUUAACCUUGAGAUUGCGUUUGAAACUGGAGGGCUUGAGGAUCGGAGAGGGCAGUGGAAUUCCCAGUGUAGCGGUGAAAUGCGUAGAUAUUGGGAGGAACACCAGUGGCGAAGGCGGCUGCCUGGACGACACCUGACGCUGAGGCGCGAAAGCUAGGGGAGCAAACGGGAUUAGAUACCCCGGUAGA